GGAAGCUUCUCUGGUGAUGGCUGAGCAAGGCACUGAUCUGUGGCACUUUAGAAGAGACCUGGAGUAAAGAAGAAGCCAAGUAUGGGACAAUACUAUAUGGGACAAUACUAGAUGGGACAAUAACUUUCCAGCAAGGAGGGACUGCAGAUGGAAGGAUUUUUAAGUGACAGCAUACUUCAGUGGUUUAAGGAACAGUAAAGGUCUUAACGUGUUUGGAAGAGGGUAAGUGCGGUGCUUUGGAAGAUAAAUGUCUCCCAUAGACUCAUGUAUUUGAACAUUUGGUCCCUGGAUACAGGCACUGUUUUUAAAGGUUGUAGAACUUUUAGGAGGUGGAGACUUACUUGGAGGAACUGUGCUACUGUGGGUAGCUUUUGAGAGGUUAUAUACUGCCCCACUUCCUGUUUUCUCCCUUUGUGUCAUGUUUGAUAUCGAGCAUACGAACUCUUUAGUUUUCUGCUCUACUUCCCUGCUGCCAUGCCUCUCCUGCCAUUAUAGAUACUCCUUCUGGAGCUAUAAGAUCAACUAAACCCUUCCUUCUAUAAGUUGCCUUGCUCAUGGUAUUUUAUCACACCAACAGAAAAGUAUCUAACACAAUAAGCAGGGAGAACGGAAUUAGGACAGGAGCCCAUAAAUAAGUUCACUAUUCAGAUAAGGUAGACUAAAGUAAGCACUCAGAGAAAACCAGUGAGCCAUGGGAGGAUUUGACGCAGAGGAGACUGACAUCAUUUUAACAGAAUGACUUUAUAGGGAAUAUGUUGUAGAGCGGGAGAAACAAAGGGGCUUUGACUUGGUAAAAGGCUUUAGCAAUCUAAGAAUCAUCCAGGUGACACAGAGUAUAGACCAAGGUGAUGACAUGGAAGUGGUGAGAAAUAAUCGGCUCUGGAUAUAUUUUUUUAAGGUAUAAAUGACACCAUUCACUAACAGAUGGGGGGGUCAAGGCAUUCAAGGAUGGUCUCAAAGGGUGUUGUUAUUAUUAUUGUUCCUCCUCCCCCUCUUCCUCCUCUUCCUCUUCCUUCUCCUCCUCCUUUUUCUUCUUCUUCUCUUCCCUGAGCAAUGGAAGAGUGGAGUUGCCAUUGACUGAGCUACAGAAUCCCAAAGUAUAACACAUUUUCGGAGAGAAAGCCAUACUUUGGCUAUGCUGAGUUUGAGGUGCCCAUUAGACAUCUACAAAGAAGAUGGAUACAAAGAAAAUGGAUACAAGGAAGAUGAAUAUUCACAUAAAACAGUCAGUGGAGGGUGGUCUAUUGUUCUGACAUUUGCCAUUUUUUUCCCUCUGACCCUGUUUCUGAUUGGUGCAGCCGUUGAAGAUGCUGCAGUUGCAGCAGUGUACAUCUGGAACAUUUGGCUGACUUGUUGAACUUACCCCAGGGAGUACUCCAGGGGAAGCAAGGGAAGGGUGGAGAGGCCAGAACACUUGCCUGUGAAUACAGAUGCCAAUAGUGUCUGGCCAUGCUGUGGACCACCCCUGUAAAAAUUCACCUCGUCAUGACCCUCAGUUUCCCCACCUGCUCCUCGAAGGCUCAAGUUCUUCCAAAACUUCUGCAUCUCUGGAAGAAGAUAAACUUUUGGCUGCGGGUUCUCUCAUACACUACUUUCUGCACUGUGAACGGGAUCAAUGCAUAUCUGUUGAAUGAAUUAAUAUAUCAAGAAAUCCUAGGAAACGGUUUUAGCCUUCAACGGACAGCAUCACUUCAGUUUUACUUGGCACUAGGCACCCUCUCUAUGCCCUCAGACUGUGCCCCAAGACUCAUUUGAGGAGUGAGGUUGCCCGGUUCCCAGUCUGUUUGGCUCCCAGGCUCCUAGGUCUCCUUUUCUUCUGGCGAGCCAUUGAAUUGCAAACACAGCAGGCAUGGUUUCAUUCCAAACCCUGAACUGUUUUAAUUAGUUUAACGUCUGUUAAACGCUUUGAAGAUUGAAAGCAACAGAUAAGUACUGGAUGAUGUUAUU
Long non-coding RNA from Mus pahari (shrew mouse), 1947 nucleotides. RefSeq lists it as uncharacterized. The transcript is spliced from 3 exons. The record is from RefSeq and is a predicted model, not a curated record. Lineage: Eukaryota; Metazoa; Chordata; Mammalia; Rodentia; Muridae.